RNAcentral lists this ribosomal RNA (482 nucleotides) under uncultured bacterium. RNAcentral describes it as "partial 16S ribosomal RNA". It matches the Rfam family "Bacterial small subunit ribosomal RNA", at positions 30 to 507 of the family's 1533-position model. The record is from RNAcentral.
AUUGAACGCUGGCGGCAUGCUUUACACAUGCAAGUCGAACGGUAACAGGCCGCAAGGUGCUGACGAGUGGCGCACGGGUGAGUAAUGCAUCGGAACGUGCCCAGUCGUGGGGGAUAACUACUCGAAAGAGUAGCUAAUACCGCAUACGAUCUAUGGAUGAAAGCGGGGGACCGUAAGGCCUCGCGCGAUUGGAGCGGCCGAUGUCAGAUUAGGUAGUUGGUGGGGUAAAGGCUCACCAAGCCAACGAUCUGUAGCUGGUCUGAGAGGACGACCAGCCACACUGGGACUGAGACACGGCCCAGACUCCCACGGGAGGCAGCAGUGGGGAAUUUUGGACAAUGGGCGCAAGCCUGAUCCAGCAAUGCCGCGUGCAGGAAGAAGGCCUUCGGGUUGUAAACUGCUUUUGUACGGAACGAAACGGCUCUGGUUAAUACCCGGGGCUAAUGACGGUACCGUAAGAAUAAGCACCGGCUAACUACGUG